Molecule: long non-coding RNA, 946 nt
Organism: Lemur catta (Ring-tailed lemur)
Lineage: Eukaryota; Metazoa; Chordata; Mammalia; Primates; Lemuridae
Exons: 5
Source: RefSeq, a predicted model, not a curated record
AAAGAAUACUAGAGACCAAUUCCAAGAUGCAAAGCUCAGGGCUGGUAGGUAGAGACUCCACCAUCAUUAAAACGGAGCUUGCAUGGUUGCUCUGAUCUUCUUCAUUUCUAAGCAAGUAGAAAUAGGAUGAACCUCUCUGAGGAUUCAAUUAUAGCCAGAACCUGACUUUGGCCCUGCAGGGAAAGAAGCCCAAACAUACGGUGUUAGCAUCAUGCUGAAGAAACAGGAAUAAAGGAGUUGUAUUCUCCAAGUCUUGUGAAAGUGUUAUUAUAUUACCAAGAAGCACCAAGUUUUUGGACUAGAUCACCUUGGAUAUGCUCAAGGACAUUCAACUGGGAGGAUGUGGCCUAGGUGAUAAAGUCAAAUGCUUCCUUAGUUAAUUUCUUUGGCUGCAUUCUAGAAAAAAACCAACCCUGAGAUGAAUGAGGAUUUAUGUGCAAAUGAUUCAUUAAGGAAGUGCUCCUAAGAAUAAACAGAAAAGGCUGGGGGACUUGGAACUGAAAGAAACCAAACAAGGUUGUGAUUAUAGAAAAAGUCCAAGCAUGAACCUGAUCCCACAAGGAGCUCUGGAGUAUAAAUUAUAUAUCAGUUUGUCCUGACUUAGGCAAGAGAGCCGGGCUGCACUCCUUGCCCUACUCAUUGACUGGGAACCAUCUCAGGAGAUCUAAAAUCCAAACAUUUCCAUCUCUCUGUGCAUUCAAGCAAAGCAGCUCCAGUAGCUCUUGGGCAGCCUCCAAAGACUCACAGGUGCAAGCUAUUACAUACAAGAGAGCACAGAAGCUGAAGAGAUAUGGAUUACUUAAAAAUAAACAUGUUUUUAAAAAGAAAACAUUGCAGAUUCUAGUACCAGUAAUACAGCUUACUAGUAAUUAGUCUUGCAAUAAAUCAUUUUACCUCUUUCAACUCUGUGUUUUAAAAUUUUUAAUGUAAAAAGUUAAUAGUAACC